RNAcentral lists this unclassified non-coding RNA (594 nucleotides) under Hevea brasiliensis (rubber tree). Lineage: Eukaryota; Viridiplantae; Streptophyta; Magnoliopsida; Malpighiales; Euphorbiaceae. The record is from RNAcentral.
GAAAAAAAAAGAAAAAGAAAGAACGCAAUUAGUUUAAGAUAAACUCGUCUUUAUCUUUAUGAUUAUGCACAGAUGAGUGUUCUAUAUAUUUUUUUUAACUGCAUCCAUAGCAUUAAAAAGCUGAGGUGGGUUUGCUACAAUCCAAUUACAAGGAACUUGAAUAUACAACAUUCCAAGCAACUUGCAGAAUUUGCAAAAAAUGGUACCUUAGAUAGACAAGGGAUAAGGGCCCUGAUGGACCAAAUGAUAUCCCAUGAAUGUCCUCAGCUGGAGCAGAGUUUGGAGAGAAUCUAACUCAAAAACACGAUAAGCUCCCUCGCUGACGGCUAGCUGGACUGCUUCAGGACUUCACCAACCGGAGGCCAGAGGGGUGGCUCAGCUUAAACUUUUUGCCGCUCUAUCAACCAUCUGGCUGGGCAUGAGAGUUUUAUAACUAUUGCUGCAACUCCUGCCUUCGACAAACAAUGCUUCCGAUAAACGUCUGAAUUAAGCAUCAUAACUCCUUGGCUAAUUUUGUGCAAGAGACGAGUUCAAUGGAAGUUUUAAUAUUAAUGUUCGAAUUCAGCAUGUUUAAACAUGAGCUAAUAAACAUGG